RNAcentral lists this small RNA (125 nucleotides) under Marmota monax (woodchuck). Lineage: Eukaryota; Metazoa; Chordata; Mammalia; Rodentia; Sciuridae. The record is from RNAcentral.
GCCAGGUGCAGUGGUGCAUGCCUGUAAUCCCAGCAACUAGGGAGACUGAGACAGGAGGAUUGCAAGUUCAAAGCCAGCCUCAGCAAAAGUGAGGUGCUAAGCAACUCAGUGAGACCCUGUCUCUA